AAAGUCACUCUAACAAUUGCUCUAGCCAACAGGGUCUUUCUUAUUUCGAGUAGCCCUAACUAAUCAACAUUCCUAGAGAAUUUUAGCUCCCAAAUGUGGUUAUAUUUGUUUCCAAAAGAAAUUGAGAAAAAAAAAAUUUAAGAAGAGAAAUUAGUACAAUGUUAAAUUUCAAGAACUUCAAGCAAUAGGGACUUGAAAUCAAAACAAAGAAAUAGAACCCUUAAAAUAAAUAUUGAGAAUGAAUUUAAUUGGGAAAUGAAAUAAAAAAAAAAGAAUUAAAUAAUAGUUAGGAGAGAAAGAUAUAAUGUAAGGAAUGAAAGAAAAAAGAAAGUAAUGGAGGAAGAAAAGAGCAUGUGGAAAGAGAAAAAUUAAUCAAAUUGAUCGGGUCAUGUAGGAACAAAGUUCAAGUCUAUCGAUCUGUGCCUCAGUUGCAUACAUCACUACACUUCUACUUGACACUUAUCGCAUAUAUUGUCACGUGCUUAGCGAUUCCAACCCCGAAAAACACUCAAGCCGUGCGACACUUAACUCAGUCUGUCGAACUAAAUUAGCCCUAAUCUCUCAAUACACAGCGGAAGAUGAAUAAAAGGGUUGAUUCCAGCAAUCAACAGAUUACAAGUGCUCACAGCGGUCAAUAAGCACAACCUUGGGUAAUUGAGACCUCAAGGUGUUGUAGAAGCCAAUCACACACACAA
RNAcentral lists this long non-coding RNA (695 nucleotides) under Manihot esculenta (cassava). RNAcentral describes it as "long non-coding RNA (MESC_LNC003366)". Lineage: Eukaryota; Viridiplantae; Streptophyta; Magnoliopsida; Malpighiales; Euphorbiaceae. The record is from RNAcentral.